RNAcentral lists this ribosomal RNA (253 nucleotides) under uncultured bacterium. RNAcentral describes it as "partial 16S ribosomal RNA". It matches the Rfam family "Bacterial small subunit ribosomal RNA", at positions 524 to 776 of the family's 1533-position model. The record is from RNAcentral.
UACGUAGGGUGCAAGCGUUAAUCGGAAUUACUGGGCGUAAAGCGUGCGCAGGCGGUUUUGUAAGUCUGUCGUGAAAGCCCCGGGCUCAACCUGGGAAUUGCAUUCGAUACUGGAUAGCUAGAGUUCGGCAGAGGGAAGCGGAAUUUCCGGUGUAGCGGUGAAAUGCGUAGAUAUCGGAAGGAACAUCAGUGGCGAAAGCGGCUUCCUGGACCAGAACUGACGAUCAGGCUCGAAAGCGUGGGGAGCAAACAGG